Molecule: ribosomal RNA, 443 nt
Filed under: uncultured bacterium
Lineage: Bacteria
Description: partial 16S ribosomal RNA
Rfam family: Bacterial small subunit ribosomal RNA
Source: RNAcentral
CCUACGGGUGGCAGCAGUGGGGAAUAUUGGGCAAUGGGCGCAAGCCUGAACCAGCAACGCCGCGUGAAGGAAGAAGGCUCUCGGGGUGUAAACUUCUUUUCUCAGGGACGAAGAAAGUGACGGUACCAGCGGAAUAAGCCACGGCUAACUACGUGCCAGCAGCCGCGGUAAUGCGUAGGUGGCAAGCGUUAUCCGGAUUGACUGGGUGUAAAGGACGUGUAGGCGGGACUGCAAGUCAGAUGUGAAAACCACGGGCUCAACCUGUGGCCUGCAGUUGAAACUGUAGUUCUUGAGUACUGGAGAGGCAGGCGGAAUUCCUAGUGUAGCGGUGAAAUGCGUAGAUAUUAGGCGGAACUCCAGUGGCGAAGGCGGUCUGCUGGACAGCAACUGACGCUGAGGCGCGAAAGCGUGGGGAGCAAACAGGAUUAGAUACCCGGGUAGUC